RNAcentral lists this ribosomal RNA (245 nucleotides) under uncultured bacterium. RNAcentral describes it as "partial 16S ribosomal RNA". It matches the Rfam family "Bacterial small subunit ribosomal RNA", at positions 15 to 253 of the family's 1533-position model. The record is from RNAcentral.
GAUCCUGGCUCAGGAUGAACGCUAGCGACAGGCUUAACACAUGCAAGUCGAGGGGCAGCGGGGGUAGCAAUACCCGCCGGCGACCGGCGCACGGGUGAGUAACGCGUAUGCAACUUACCUAUCAGAGGGGGAUAACCCGGCGAAAGUCGGACUAAUACCGCAUGAAGCAGGGGCCCGCAUGGGGAGUAUUUGUCUAAAGAAUUCAUCGCUGAUAGAUAGGCAUGCGUUCCUAUUAGGCAGUUGGG